UGGGGAAUAUUGCACAAUGGGCGCAAGCCUGAUGCAGCCAUGCCGCGUGUGUGAAGAAGGCCUUCGGGUUGUAAAGCACUUUCAGCGGGGAGGAAGGCGAUAAGGUUAAUAACCUUGUCGAUUGACGUUACCCGCAGAAGAAGCACCGGCUAACUCCGUGCCAGCAGCCGCGGUAAUACGGAGGGUGCAAGCGUUAAUCGGAAUUACUGGGCGUAAAGCGCACGCAGGCGGUCUGUCAAGUCGGAUGUGAAAUCCCCGGGCUCAACCUGGGAACUGCAUUCGAAACUGGCAGGCUAGAGUCUUGUAGAGGGGGGUAGAAUUCCAGGUGAAGCGGUGAAAUGCGUAGAGAUCUGGAGGAAUACCGGUGGCGAAGGCGGCCCCCUGGACAAAGACUGACGCUCAGGUGCGAAAGCGUGGGGAGCAAACAGG
RNAcentral lists this ribosomal RNA (429 nucleotides) under Chloroflexota bacterium. RNAcentral's name for it is "Chloroflexi bacterium partial 16S ribosomal RNA". It matches the Rfam family "Bacterial small subunit ribosomal RNA", at positions 355 to 776 of the family's 1533-position model. The record is from RNAcentral. Lineage: Bacteria; Bacillati; Chloroflexota.